UCUCUCUCUCUCUCUCUCUCUCUCUCUCUCUCUUACUCUCUUAUUCAGGUACUUAUCUAAUCUACGCUGAGGCCUAGCAGUGAUGAACUCGAACCACGGUUUUUUUUUUCCGAUACUCGGUUCCUAUGAAGAGAAAACAUUUCCGCGGAAAUCUUUUAACGAUCAGAAGCAGCUUAUCCUGACCCUCAGAGUUGGUUUUUUUUCCCUGCUUUAUUUUUAAACCUUCCAUUAAUUUUAGUACUUUAUGAAUGUUGUUCUUCUCGUUCCAGGACCACGGGCAGUUUGUUAGCACAGUCUUCAGCUGGCUUUCAUCUUUUCAUUUCUGAUUUCUCUUUUUUAACUUGGUAAAAAAAAAAAAAACACUCUCCAUCUUGUUGCCAAGUAUUUGUUUUGCUGCCUGCGACUCAGCUGAUGUCCAGGGUGUUUUUUCUUGGUCUGGAUGACCUCGGUGUCAUGAAGUAAGAACUGUACAAAGUCAAACCUUGUACUACGUUGUCGUUAGUACGAUUCCAGUUCAUGUUCCCGGUGGUUUUGGUAGUAACACGAUUAUGUUGUGAUAUAAAAAAUAAAUUGCUCUGAUUGGUUUGGAAACAGCUUGUGAUCUUUGGCGGAGCUCGGCGUCCAGAGGUUUGGACUCGAUGUUUGUUUUUCUUCGUCGUGACCGUUGUCCUGAUGAGGUUUCUAAUUCUUCGUAAUCUCGCCUCGGUUCUUAACGGGCGGCUGGACGCCCCGACGCAGGGCCUCCUGGGCCUUUUUUUUCCUCUCUUUUCCACUGAGAAUUUCUUUUUUGGGUUUGACAAUAUAUAUACCUCAUUCCUUCAGUCCAGCGGGCCCCAGGGGGCGCUGUGCCGAUGCUCAGGACGCUCAAGCCCCCUUUUUUAUGGUUUGGUCCCACAUGGACUGUACCUCGUACAAACGCUAAACACACAAACGCAUACACACUUACACACAGGUUCUCCUAAUACCCAGAUGGACCUCAUAUUUUCAAUAUCUACUGUUUACAGUUUGACAAAAACAAUUGUAUAAUUUAAAAAAUAUUUUCUCAUAAUGUAGUUUUAUUUAUGUACAAUAAUUUUUUUUUGUUUUUUUUAUUUUAUUUUGUACCUUGUGAGUUGGACAUUUAUUCUUCUAGACUUCUAUUAUCAAUGUCCGUGUAAAUGAGCACUUACGAAAAAUCACAAUAAUUGGUUUUAGUUUGAUUGACUGCACUAUUUGGUUUUUUUUGGGUUUGUUUUUUUAUUUUCUCCCUGUUUUGAUGCAAAUCUGAUUUUUGUAAUUGGGCCAAUGAAAAAUGAAAUGUUUCAUAAUAUCUGUGAUUAUUUUUGUUCUGACAAAAAGACGAAAGACGGGUUGAUUUCCUACAGUCUUUCUCUUUUUUAAAAAAAAAAAUCUUAAUUUUUGCAUUGACUUUCAGGCAACGCUGAUUAGAUCUGUCUUUGUGCAUGUGUAAAAUAUUUUACUGGUUAUGUUAUAUUCAAUUUGGUAAAAAAAAAAAGUAAAAAAAAAAUAGAAAAAAGAAAAUUGCCAUUUUUGCCACACAUUUCAGCUGUAAUGUUGUGUAAGGUAGUAUUCACUGGAUGCUAGAACCUUGUUUUCAAAACCACUAUUCUUCUAAUAAAUUUUGUUGUGAAAAUACGCAGCUUUUUUUUUGGUUUCUUUAAAAAAAAAAAGAAGAAGAAAAACACUGCACCACGCCCCCAAGUGGACGGGGAGGUUUGUAUUCAAGAUUUCCUCCAUUAAAUUGUUUGUUGUUUUUUUUAAUGCAGGGAAAAGUCGACAGUUUGAGGUUGUUUGCAGUCGACAUCGAUGGCGAAAAAAUGAGGGAGCGAAAUAUUGUUGGACCGGUGAAGUUGCCAAAGUUGCACCAAACGAUCACAGGUUCCUCCAGAGACCUUUAAAGGAUCACAGGACCAGACGGUGAGUAGACGAUUUGAAUUUCUACCCCGUUUACUUUGACAAGUAAAUGGAAGACAAUUUGAGCAAAGAUGAUCAGGAACAAUGUUGAGAUUCACGUUUCUUCUUCCUGUUUGUUCCCCUUCUCCCUCUCUUCGUCACUUGGAGGAGUCAAAUCAUAUAAGAACCGAAGAUAACAAAAGAAAACCAUAUAGGAAUCUGUCACCAUGGUUACGCAGAUGCAACUAUGGCAACGUACUAUAGAAUUCAAGGCUCUGGUGUGAUUCAGCCAAUAAAAUGAUUCUCGUCCCUGAGGAACUCUGGGAACUCUGGGUCCAGCGCACACACCGCCUCACCUCUCGCUCUCGCUGCUCGUUCCUGUUCUUGACACAAAUCUUUCUCUGCUGCAGGGCCGUAGGAACACGGAGAACCAGCUCUCUGCAGCGGACGGAGGCAGAAAAGACAAAUAACUUUUCAGGGCAGAAGAAGAAAUGUGCAACAGUGAUGGUCAUCUUGAAGCUGAAACUCCGGAGUUUGUAUCGAACAAAACAAUGCUGCGCUUCAGAAACCACUGUCGAGGCUUCAUUGGUUUAGCCUGAGUCAUGUGACCAAUGAUGUGAGAAG
Molecule: long non-coding RNA, 2517 nt
Organism: Cynoglossus semilaevis (tongue sole)
Lineage: Eukaryota; Metazoa; Chordata; Actinopteri; Pleuronectiformes; Cynoglossidae
Exons: 3
Source: RefSeq, a predicted model, not a curated record